CUAGCGGCAGGCUUACACAUGCAAGUCGAGGGGUAUUGGUUUUCGGACCAAGAGACCGGCGCACGGGUGCGUAACGCGUAUGCAAUCUACCUUUCACAGAGGGAUAGCCCAGAGAAAUUUGGAUUAAUACCUCAUAGUAUAAUUGAAUGGCAUCAUUUGAUUAUUAAAGUCACAACGGUGAAAGAUGAGCAUGCGUCCCAUUAGCUUGUUGGUAAGGUAACGGCUUACCAAGGCAACGAUGGGUAGGGGUCCUGAGAGGGAGAUCCCCCACACUGGUACUGAGACACGGACCAGACUCCUACGGGAGGCAGCAGUGAGGAAUAUUGGACAAUGGGCGCAAGCCUGAUCCAGCCAUGCCGCGUGCAGGAUGACGGUCCUAUGGAUUGUAAACUGCUUUUGUACAGGAAGAAACAGUUCUACGUGUAGAACCUUGACGGUACUGUAAGAAUAAGGAUCGGCUAACUCCGUGCCAGCAGCCGCGGUAAUACGGAGGAUCCAAGCGUUAUCCGGAAUCAUUGGGUUUAAAGGGUCCGUAGGCGGCCUUAUAAGUCAGUGGUGAAAUCUCCCCGCUCAACGGGGAAACGGCCAUUGAUACUGUAGG
RNAcentral lists this ribosomal RNA (601 nucleotides) under uncultured Flavobacterium sp. RNAcentral's name for it is "bacterial SSU rRNA". It matches the Rfam family "Bacterial small subunit ribosomal RNA", at positions 36 to 639 of the family's 1533-position model. Lineage: Bacteria; Pseudomonadati; Bacteroidota; Flavobacteriia; Flavobacteriales; Flavobacteriaceae. The record is from RNAcentral.